Molecule: long non-coding RNA, 2352 nt
Organism: Pipistrellus kuhlii (Kuhl's pipistrelle)
Lineage: Eukaryota; Metazoa; Chordata; Mammalia; Chiroptera; Vespertilionidae
Exons: 3
Source: RefSeq, a predicted model, not a curated record
GAAAACAAAUUAUUCUCGCCUGACAUUUUAUCGUGUUAUUGUGUUCCACGCUAUUUAGUUCCUCCGGGAGCCUUCCGACUUUCACAGGCACUGCUUCAAUCAGCUUCUGCAGCGUGGAUAACUUACCUAGGGACCAGGCCUUCCUGCACAAGCAGCCAGUCAUGAGCAGGGGCAGACUAGCCUUGUUCUUUUUAAUUUUAAUAUUUAUAUAUUUUUGCAUUUCAAAGUAUAGAGAUUCAUUUUAGCAAUUCAUUGAAAAGUGAAAGCCACUGAGUUUCAUUUAGGAAAAAAAUACUUUACCUAUAAUGGGAGGAUUAUGUAGAAAUGAGCCUACUUGCUGGUUUUUCUUUUCUUUUCCAAAAUUUUUGCAUUGUGACUUAAGCGUUUUCCUACAUCAGAAAUUGACUGUCUUUGUUUUUUCAGUACAUAAUUUUCAAUGUAAACCUGCUUGUGUAGAAAUUUUUUUAAAAAGUGUUUAAAAGUAUCCUGUGUAUGAACAAAAUAGGCCUUAAUGGUAUUUUGGGUGGGGACAAGAACCUCAGGUUUACUUAAGGAAGAAGAGAAGUAUUUGCUUAGGGAACUUUAAACUAGUUACAUAGGAAUUUAUCCAAUAAAGAUACAGCUCUACCAUCAGUUUAAAAGAAAAACAAGGUUUUGGUAUAUCUUGACUAAAUGGCUUUGAAAGUACUAAAGAUUUUGAAAAACUCUUACAAAUCAGACUGCUUUAGAGUGAAAACAAAAAUUAGGGGCUACUUAUUUAAGUUAGGUAUCAAUAUUGGAAAUUUGGUAAUAGAGCAAAAUGUACUAUAUUGUAUUAAUAAUGAAAUAUUGGCACUAUAUAAAACUGACAGUUAAUUUUAAGUAUUUUUUAGAUCAUUAAGCCAGAAUUUCAAUGCAGAUAUGGAAGAAAAGGCUCUCAUUUUAAAAACUGCAAGAAAAAAAAUAAAUUUAAAUGCUGAAAUAUAUACUUUAAAUUUUUUAUUUUAUUUUAAAAACAUGUAAAAACUAACUUGGGUUUUAAUAAUGGAAUAAAUAAACAUGAGUCUGAAAAUUAAGUGAGUAUAAUAAAUUUGGAAUUGUAAAACUUCUGGUACUUUAAAAUUCUGUAUGAGAAUAGCUUGUGUUUAGAAUUCAGCCAGGCAUUGAGUCUUAAGCUUAUUUAUUUAUUUAUUUAUUUAUUUAUUGCAAAUAAAGACUAUAAUGUUAUGUAGAAGCUUGAGUUUUCAAAAAUAUAUUAAUUCUGGUUUGGCUUGAUAUCAUAGUUUUUGUUUUAAUAUCAUUUUCUAGCAAAGGAUACAAUGUUCAAUACUUAGAAUUCUACAUUUUGAGUAAAGCUAGUACAUAAUGACUUAGUUAUUUCUUAAUUUGUAAUAAACACUGGGAUAAUUUUUUAAAGUUUAUUUCUGAGUUUCUUAACAUUUUUUGCAGUACUGCAUAUUAAUUUAUAAAAGAAAUGUUUUGACAACAUUUUCAAACUGUGUUAGCUGAAUCUCCUAUAGAUGAGUAAGCAGUCAGUAUUAGUCUUAAAAUUCAUUUGCGAAGUAACCAGAAUUACUUUAUUGUAACAUAGGAACUGUUAUAAUAGUGUUUUUUGCAUUGAGUUUUUUGAUGUUUGAGUUGUAAAAAUUGCCACACAGUCUGAAAAUGAUUUCAUUGAACUAGAUACACUUUUGGGAAUAUUUAUUUUCUUUGUAAACGGAGAUUGAGCACCACCUGUUGGCCGUACUAAUGUAUUUCAAUUUGUGAAUUCAGCAAAAAAAAUUUUGUUGUUGGAAUGAUUAGAUUAAUUACUUAGGUCUAUAUAUUAUAUAAUUCUGUCACAAUAUAGUUUUUCUAAAAGCUCUACUUAAUAAAUUCAAUAAAGUGCUUUUAUUAUUGUAAAUUAUAAAAUGACCCAUCUAAUUGUACAUUUUCCCUAACUUUGCUGUAUACUACUGAAUAGUAAGUUAUCCUUUUUAAGGAAGCAAAUAGUCUUAACCAUGUGUUUAUUGAUGAAGUUAUUAAAAGAGGUAAUUAUUUUAUUUGCCCUAUCUGGAAAUUAUCAAAGUAAUCAUCAUUAAGCCAGAAUUUCAAUGUAUUAAUAGAUAUGGAUGAAAAGACUCAUACUGUACAUUAGAUAUUUCAUGUUCUUUUCUGCACUAGAUUUAAUUUUUAAGAAUGUGAAAUAAUAAUAAUUAUUUUUUAAUAAUUUGAAGUAAAAAAAAACCAAUCAAUUCUUGUGUUAAAAGCAACAAUUACUAUUUUUAUUGCAGUUAUAUUUUUUGUAACUUUAGACUUUUAUGUUGAAUAUUUUAUUUCAUUUGAAAUAGAUACAUGUAACUCAAGUAGGCGUUAAGAAAACAAAUUAUUAAU